RNAcentral lists this ribosomal RNA (497 nucleotides) under uncultured bacterium. RNAcentral's name for it is "partial 16S ribosomal RNA". It matches the Rfam family "Bacterial small subunit ribosomal RNA", at positions 28 to 507 of the family's 1533-position model. The record is from RNAcentral.
GAUGAACGCUGGCGGCGUGCCUAAUUCAUGCAAGUCGAGCGAACAGACGAGGAGCUUGCUCCUUUGACGUUAGCGGCGGACGGGUGAGUAACACGUGGGUAACCUACCUAUAAGACUGGGAUAACUUCGGGAAACCGGAGCUAAUACCGGAUAAUAUUUCGAACCGCAUGGUUCGAUAGUGAAAGAUGGCUCUGCUAUCACUUAUAGAUGGACCUGCGCCGUAUUAGCUAGUUGGUAAGGUAACGGCUUACCAAGGCAACGAUACGUAGCCGACCUGAGAGGGUGAUCGGCCACACUGGAACUGAGACACGGUCCAGACUCCUACGGGAGGCAGCAGUAGGGAAUCUUCCGCAAUGGGCGAAAGCCUGACGGAGCAACGCCGCGUGAGUGAUGAAGGUCUUCGGAUCGUAAAACUCUGUUAUUAGGGAAGAACAAACGUGUAAGUAACUGUGCACGUCUUGACGGUACCUAAUCAGAAAGCCACGGCUAACUACGUG